UACGGAGGAUGCGAGCGUUAUCCGGAUUUAUUGGGUUUAAAGGGUGCGUAGGCGGGCAAUUAAGUCAGUGAUGAAAUUUUGUUGCUUAACAAUAAAACUGCCAUUGAUACUGAUAGUCUUGAGUGAAGUUGAGGUAGGCGGAAUGUGUAGUGUAGCGGUGAAAUGCUUAGAUAUUACACAGAACACCGAUUGCGAAGGCAGCUUACUAAGCUUAAACUGACGCUGAGGCACGAAAGCGUGGGGAUCAAACAGG
This 253-nucleotide ribosomal RNA is filed under the name uncultured bacterium. Its description in RNAcentral is "partial 16S ribosomal RNA". It matches the Rfam family "Bacterial small subunit ribosomal RNA", at positions 524 to 776 of the family's 1533-position model. The record is from RNAcentral.